RNAcentral lists this ribosomal RNA (484 nucleotides) under uncultured bacterium. Its description in RNAcentral is "partial 16S ribosomal RNA". It matches the Rfam family "Bacterial small subunit ribosomal RNA", at positions 30 to 507 of the family's 1533-position model. The record is from RNAcentral.
AUUGAACGCUGGCGGCAGGCUUAACACAUGCAAGUCGAGCGGAUGAAGGGAGCUUGCUCCUGGAUUCAGCGGCGGACGGGUGAGUAAUGCCUAUGAAUCUGCCUGGUAGUGGGGGAUAACGUCCGGAAACGGGCGCUAAUACCGCCUACGUCCUGAGGGAGCAAGUGGGGGAUCUUCGGACCUCACGCUCUCAGAUGAGCCUAGGUCGGAUUAGCUAGUUGGUGGGGUAAAGGCCUUCCAAGGCGACGAUCCGUAACUGGUCUGAGAGGAUGGUCAGUCACAUUGGAACUGAGACACGGUCCAGACUCCUACGGGAGGCAGCAGUGGGGAAUAUUGGACAAUGGGCGAAAGCCUGAUCCAGCCAUGCCGAGUGUGUGAAGAAGGUCUUCGGAUUGUAAAGCACGUUAAGUUGGGAGGAAGGGCAGUAAGUUAAUACCUUGCUGUUUUGACGGUACCAACAGAAUAAGCACCGGCUAACUUCGUG